RNAcentral lists this transfer RNA (77 nucleotides) under Bacillota bacterium. RNAcentral describes it as "Firmicutes bacterium (anaerobic digester metagenome) tRNA-Arg". It matches the Rfam family "tRNA". From Rfam's summary of the family: Transfer RNA (tRNA) molecules are approximately 80 nucleotides in length. The record is from RNAcentral. RNAcentral also lists the same sequence under 1 other name. Lineage: Bacteria; Bacillati; Bacillota.
CCGCCCGUAGCUCAGCUGGAUAGAGCGCCUGACUUCGGAUCAGGAGGUCCCGGGUUCAAAUCCUGGCGGGCGGGCCA